Molecule: ribosomal RNA, 773 nt
Filed under: uncultured bacterium
Lineage: Bacteria
Description: bacterial SSU rRNA
Rfam family: Bacterial small subunit ribosomal RNA
Source: RNAcentral
AGAGUUUGAUCAUGGCUCAGGACGAACGCUGGCGGCGUGCUUAACACAUGCAAGUCGAACGGAAAGGCCCUUCGGGGUACUCGAGUGGCGAACGGGUGAGUAACACGUGGGUGAUCUGCCCUGCACUUUGGGAUAAGCCUGGGAAACUGGGUCUAAUACCGAAUAGGACCACGCGCUUCAUGGUGUGUGGUGGAAAGCUUUUGCGGUGUGGGAUGGGCCCGCGGCCUAUCAGCUUGUUGGUGGGGUAAUGGCCUACCAAGGCGACGACGGGUAGCCGGCCUGAGAGGGUGACCGGCCACACUGGGACUGAGAUACGGCCCAGACUCCUACGGGAGGCAGCAGUGGGGAAUAUUGCACAAUGGGCGCAAGCCUGAUGCAGCGACGCCGCGUGAGGGAUGACGGCCUUCGGGUUGUAAACCUCUUUCAAUAGGGACGAAGCGCAAGUGACGGUACCUAUAGAAAAAGCACCGGCCAACUACGUGCCAGCAGCCGCGGUAAUACGUAGGGUGCGAGCGUUGUCCGGAAUUACUGGGCGUAAAGAGCUCGUAGGUGGUUUGUCGCGUUGUUCGUGAAAACUCACAGCUUAACUGUGGGCGUGCGGGCGAUACGGGCAGACUAGAGUACUGCAGGGGAGACUGGAAUUCCUGGUGUAGCGGUGGAAUGCGCAGAUAUCAGGAGGAACACCGGUGGCGAAGGCGGGUCUCUGGGCAGUAACUGACGCUGAGGAGCGAAAGCGUGGGGAGCGAACAGGAUUAGAUACCCUGGUAGUCCAA